GAUAUUUCUGAGUGACAACCUGAUCGGGACGUUCCGGAACAUUGGUGACACGUCAGGACACGGUGAGGAUCACUGUGAGCUUGUUGGAGCUUCAUCAGAUCCUCCGUCCUCGUCACUGGAUCCGGAUUAUCGCACCUGUAGUGGAACAGGUUAUUGGCGCUCUUAUCGUGGACGCGAUUUUAUGUAUGGAUCAAUCGGUUAUAAUUCCGGAUCCGGAUGGUGGAGUAGUAGUCGACGGUCUUAUGGACGCUGGUACAGAUGUGGUGUUACUAUCCCUGAAGGUCGUAACGAAAGUGACUGGAAUUGUCAAUUUAGUACAGAUCAGUGCAACUCCAUUACGCGUGGUACAGGUUCAUUUGAAUGGAGACGAAGGGCUUAUAGUACUCCAUCAUCGUC
Long non-coding RNA from Branchiostoma belcheri (Belcher's lancelet), 396 nucleotides. RefSeq lists it as uncharacterized. The record is from RefSeq and is a predicted model, not a curated record. Lineage: Eukaryota; Metazoa; Chordata; Leptocardii; Amphioxiformes; Branchiostomatidae. The transcript has 3 exons.